GAAUAGGGCGUUUAGUAUUUGGUCGUAGACCCGAAACCAGGUGAUCUACCCUUGGUCAGGUUGAAGUUCAGGUAACACUGAAUGGAGGACCGAACCGACUUACGUUGAAAAGUGAGCGGAUGAACUGAGGGUAGCGGAGAAAUUCCAAUCGAACCUGGAGAUAGCUGGUUCUCUCCGAAAUAGCUUUAGGGCUAGCCUCAAGUGAUGAUUAUUGGAGGUAGAGCACUGUUUGGACGAGGGGCCCCUCUCGGGUUACCGAAUUCAGACAAACUCCGAAUGCCAAUUAAUUUAACUUGGGAGUCAGAACAUGGGUGAUAAGGUCCGUGUUCGAAAGGGAAACAGCCCAGACCACCAGCUAAGGUCCCAAAAUAUAUGUUAAGUGGAAAAGGAUGUGGCGUUGCCCAGACAACUAGGAUGUUGGCUUAGAAGCAGCCAUCAUUUAAAGAGUGCGUAAUAGCUCACUAGUCGAGUGACACUGCGCCGAAAAUGUACCGGGGCUAAACAUAUUACCGAAGCUGUGGAUUGUCCUUUGGACAAUGGUAGGAGAGCGUUCUAAGGGCGUUGAAGCAUGAUCGUAAGGACAUGUGGAGCGCUUAGAAGUGAGAAUGCCGGUGUGAGUAGCGAAAGAUGGGUGAGAAUCCCGUCCACCGAUUGACUAAGGUUUCCAGAGGAAGGCUCGUCCGCUCUGGGUUAGUCGGGUCCUAAGCUGAGGCCGACAGGCGUAGGCGAUGGAUAACAGGUUGAUAUUCCUGUACCACCUAUAAUCGUUUUAAUCGAUGGGGGGACGCAGUAGGAUAGGCGAAGCGUGCGAUUGGAUUGCACGUCUAAGCAGUAAGGCUGAGUAUUAGGCAAAUCCGGUACUCGUUAAGGCUGA
RNAcentral lists this ribosomal RNA (874 nucleotides) under Staphylococcus aureus. RNAcentral's name for it is "partial 23S ribosomal RNA". It matches the Rfam family "Bacterial large subunit ribosomal RNA", at positions 685 to 1559 of the family's 2925-position model. The record is from RNAcentral. Lineage: Bacteria; Bacillati; Bacillota; Bacilli; Caryophanales; Staphylococcaceae.